AUUGAACGCUGGCGGCAGGCCUAACACAUGCAAGUCGAGCGGCAGCGGGAAAGUAGCUUGCUACUUUUGCCGGCGAGCGGCGGACGGGUGAGUAAUGCCUGGGAAAUUGCCCAGUCGAGGGGGAUAACAGUUGGAAACGACUGCUAAUACCGCAUACGCCCUACGGGGGAAAGCAGGGGACCUUCGGGCCUUGCGCGAUUGGAUAUGCCCAGGUGGGAUUAGCUAGUUGGUGAGGUAAUGGCUCACCAAGGUGACGAUCCCUAGCUGGUCUGAGAGGAUGAUCAGCCACACUGGAACUGAGACACGGUCCAGACUCCUACGGGAGGCAGCAGUGGGGAAUAUUGCACAAUGGGGGAAACCCUGAUGCAGCCAUGCCGCGUGUGUGAAGAAGGCCUUCGGGUUGUAAAGCACUUUCAGCGAGGAGGAAAGGUUGAUGCCUAAUAUGUAUCAACUGUGACGUUACUCGCAGAAGAAGCACCGGCUAACUCCGUGCCAGCAGCCGCGGUGAUACGGAGGGUGCAAGCGUUAAUCGGAAUUACUGGGCGUAAAGCGCACGCAGGCGGUUGGAUAAGUUAGAUGUGAAAGCCCCGGGCUCAACCUGGGAAUUGCAUUUAAAACUGUCCAGCUAGAGUCUUGUAGAGGGGGGUAGAAUUCCAGGUGUAGCGGUGAAAUGCGUAGAGAUCUGGAGGAAUACCGGUGGCGAAGGCGGCCCCCUGGACAAAGACUGACGCUCAGGUGCGAAAGCGUGGGGAGCAAACAGG
This 761-nucleotide ribosomal RNA is filed under the name uncultured Aeromonadaceae bacterium. Its description in RNAcentral is "bacterial SSU rRNA". It matches the Rfam family "Bacterial small subunit ribosomal RNA", at positions 28 to 776 of the family's 1533-position model. Lineage: Bacteria; Pseudomonadati; Pseudomonadota; Gammaproteobacteria; Aeromonadales; Aeromonadaceae. The record is from RNAcentral.